CCUACGGGAGGCAGCAGUGGGGAAUAUUGCACAAUGGGGGAAACCCUGAUGCAGCGACGCCGCGUGAGUGAAGAAGUAUUUCGGUAUGUAAAGCUCUAUCAGCAGGGAAGAAAGUGACGGUACCUGACUACGAAGCCCCGGCUAACUACGUGCCAGCAGCCGCGGUAAUACGUAGGGGGAAAGCGUUAUCCGGAUUUACUGGGUGUAAAGGGAGCGUAGACGGUGAUGCAAGUCAGAAGUGAAAGCCCGGGGCUCAACUCCGGGACUGCUUUGGAAACUGUGUGACUGGAGUGCAGGAGAGGUAAGCGGAAUGCCUGGUGUAGCGGUGAAAUGCGUAGAUAUAAGGAGGAACACCAGUGGCGAAGGCGGCUGACUGGACUGUAACUGACGUUGAGGCUCGAAAGCGUGGGGAGCAAACAGGAUUAGAUACCCUAGUAGUC
Molecule: ribosomal RNA, 440 nt
Filed under: uncultured bacterium
Lineage: Bacteria
Description: partial 16S ribosomal RNA
Rfam family: Bacterial small subunit ribosomal RNA
Source: RNAcentral